UACGGGGGGGGCAAGCGUUGUUCGGAAUUACUGGGCGUAAAGGGCGCGUAGGCGGCCAUCUAAGUCAGACGUGAAAUCCCUCGGCUCAACCGAGGAACUGCGUCUGAUACUGGAAGGCUUGAAUCCGGGAGAGGUGAGUGGAACUGCGAGUGUAGAGGUGAAAUUCGUAGAUAUUCGCAAGAACACCAGUGGCGAAGGCAGCCAUCUGGACCGACACUGACGCUGAGGCGCGAAAGCGUGGGGAGCAAACAGGG
RNAcentral lists this ribosomal RNA (254 nucleotides) under uncultured bacterium. RNAcentral describes it as "partial 16S ribosomal RNA". It matches the Rfam family "Bacterial small subunit ribosomal RNA", at positions 524 to 777 of the family's 1533-position model. The record is from RNAcentral.